GGAGCCGGCCAAGCAGCCGCGUCGCGUUCGCGCGCCGAGGAAAGUCCGGGCUCCAUAGGGCAGGGUGCCAGGUAACGCCUGGGCGGCGCGAGCCGACGGAAAGUGCAACAGAAAGCAAACCGCCGAACGGUGUCGCAAGACGCGCGUGGCAAGGGUGAAACGGUGCGGCAAGAGCGCACCGCGAGUCUGGCAACAGACCGGCACGGCAAACCCCACCCGGAGCAAGACUAAAUAGGGGAACCAUGACGCGGCCCGCGUCGUUCCCGGGUAGGUCGCUAGAGCCUUGCGGCGACGCAAGGCCCAGAGGAAUGGCUGCUCACGACAGAACCCGGCUGAUCGGCCGGCUCCCGCU
Molecule: RNase P RNA, 352 nt
Filed under: Rhodanobacter sp.
Lineage: Bacteria; Pseudomonadati; Pseudomonadota; Gammaproteobacteria; Lysobacterales; Rhodanobacteraceae
Description: RNase P RNA component class A
Rfam family: Bacterial RNase P class A
About the family: Ribonuclease P (RNase P) is a ubiquitous endoribonuclease, found in archaea, bacteria and eukarya as well as chloroplasts and mitochondria. Its best characterised activity is the generation of mature 5'-ends of tRNAs by cleaving the 5'-leader elements of precursor-tRNAs.
Source: RNAcentral